UGUAGCUCAGUGGUAGAGCACUUGCCUAGCAUGUGUGAGGCCCUGGGUUCGAACCCAGCA
RNAcentral lists this transfer RNA (60 nucleotides) under Marmota monax (woodchuck). It matches the Rfam family "tRNA", at positions 6 to 65 of the family's 71-position model. Rfam says of the family: Transfer RNA (tRNA) molecules are approximately 80 nucleotides in length. Their secondary structure includes four short double-helical elements and three loops (D, anti-codon, and T loops). The record is from Rfam by way of RNAcentral. RNAcentral also lists the same sequence under 1 other name. Lineage: Eukaryota; Metazoa; Chordata; Mammalia; Rodentia; Sciuridae.